ACAUCCGGAAUUUGCUGGAAACAGUGAAGUGCUUUCAUUAGAAAGAGCCCGGUGACAGGUGCUGCAUGGCUGUCGUCAGCUCGUGUCGUGAGAUGUUGGGUUAAGUCCCGCAACGAGCGCAACCCUCGCCUUUAGUUGCCAGCAUUCAGUUGGGCACUCUAAAGGGACUGCCGGUGUCAAACCGGAGGAAGGUGGGGAUGACGUCAAGUCCUCAUGGCCUUUAUGUCUAGGGCUACACACGUACUACAAUGGCAGGUACAAAGGGCAGCGACACAGCGAUGUGAUGCGAAUCCCGAAAAGCCUGUCUCAGUCCGGAUCGGAGUCUGCAACUCGACUCCGUGAAGUUGGAAUCGCUAGUAAUCGUGGAUCAGCAUGCCACGGUGAAUACGUUCCCGGGCCUU
RNAcentral lists this ribosomal RNA (401 nucleotides) under uncultured Desulfovibrio sp. RNAcentral describes it as "bacterial SSU rRNA". It matches the Rfam family "Bacterial small subunit ribosomal RNA", at positions 984 to 1382 of the family's 1533-position model. Lineage: Bacteria; Pseudomonadati; Thermodesulfobacteriota; Desulfovibrionia; Desulfovibrionales; Desulfovibrionaceae. The record is from RNAcentral.